AGUGGCGGACGGGUGAGUAACGCGUGGGUAACCUGCCUCACACAGGGGGAUAACAGUUGGAAACGACCGCUAAUACCGCAUAAGCCAACAGGGGCGCAUGCUCUGGUUGGAAAAGAUUUAUCGGUGUGAGAUGGACCCGCGUCUGAUUAGCCAGUUGGCAGGGUAACGGCCUACCAAGGCGACGAUCAGUAGCCGACCUGAGAGGGUGACCGGCCACAUUGGGACUGAGACACGGCCCAAACUCCUACGGGAGGCAGCAG
Molecule: ribosomal RNA, 260 nt
Filed under: uncultured bacterium
Lineage: Bacteria
Description: partial 16S ribosomal RNA
Rfam family: Bacterial small subunit ribosomal RNA
Source: RNAcentral